Molecule: ribosomal RNA, 484 nt
Filed under: uncultured bacterium
Lineage: Bacteria
Description: partial 16S ribosomal RNA
Rfam family: Bacterial small subunit ribosomal RNA
Source: RNAcentral
UGAACGCUGGCGGCAUGCCUUACACAUGCAAGUCGACCGGCAGCACGGGUGCUUGCACCUGGUGGCGAGUGGCGAACGGGUGAGUAAUACAUCGGAACAUGUCCUGUAGUGGGGGAUAGCCCGGCGAAAGCCGGAUUAAUACCGCAUACGAUCUACGGAUGAAAGCGGGGGACCUUCGGGCCUCGCGCUAUAGGGUUGGCCGAUGGCGGAUUAGCUAGUUGGUGGGGUAAAGGCCUACCAAGGCGACGAUCAGUAGCUGGUCUGAGAGGACGACCAGCCACACUGGGACUGAGACACGGCCCAGACUCCUACGGGAGGCAGCAGUGGGGAAUUUUGGACAAUGGGCGAAAGCCUGAUCCAGCAAUGCCGCGUGUGUGAAGAAGGCCUUCGGGUUGUAAAGCACUUUUGUCCGGAAAGAAAUCCUUGGCUCUAAUACAGUCGGGGGAUGACGGUACCGGAAGAAUAAGCACCGGCUAACUACGUG